UGAUGAAUAUUGGACAAUGUGCGCAAGCCUGAUCCAGCCAUGCCGCGUGCAGGAAGAAGCAUCUAUGGUGUGUAAACUGCUUUUGUACGGGAAGAAACACUCCUUCGUGAAGGAGCUUGACGGUACCGUAAGAAUAAGGAUCGGCUAACUCCGUGCCAGCAGCCGCGGUAAUAUGGAGGAUCCAAGCGUUAUCCGGAAUCAUUGGGUUUAAAGGGUCCGUAGGCGGUUUAGUAAGUCAGUGGUGAAAGCCCAUCGCUCAACGAUGGAACGGCCAUUGAUACUGCUAGACUUGAAUUAUUAGGAAGUAACUAGAAUAUGUAGUGUAGCGGUGAAAUGCUUAGAUAUUACAUGGAAUACCAAUUGCGAGGGCAGGUUACUGCUAAUGGAUUGACGCUGAUGGACGAAAGCGUGGGAAGCGAACA
Molecule: ribosomal RNA, 422 nt
Filed under: uncultured bacterium
Lineage: Bacteria
Description: bacterial SSU rRNA
Rfam family: Bacterial small subunit ribosomal RNA
Source: RNAcentral